Molecule: long non-coding RNA, 645 nt
Filed under: Homo sapiens (human)
Lineage: Eukaryota; Metazoa; Chordata; Mammalia; Primates; Hominidae
Description: HSALNT0307856
Source: RNAcentral
GGGAUGGAAUGAUAAGGUUUGGCUGUGUCCCCAACCAAAUCUUAUCUUGAUUUGUACCUCCCACAAUUCCCACAUGUUGUGGCAGGAACCUGGUGGGAGGUGAUUGAAUCAUGGGGGCGAGUCUUUCCUGUGCUGUUCUCAUGAUAGUGAGUGGGUCUCACAAAAUCUGAUGGUUUUAAAAACAGGCGUUUCCCUGCACAAGCUCUCUUCUCUUGCCUGCUGCUGUGUGAGACGUGCCUUUCACCUUCCUCCAUGAUUAUGAGACCUCCCCAGCCAUGUAGAACUGCUCCACUGGCAGAGAGCAGAGAAGAGGAGAAAAGAAGAAACAGCUGAAUGUCGGAGAGAAGCAGAUUGAUUUCAGAGAGACGGCUUGAUGGCGUGACUUCAGAGUUCAGUCCAGCCAGAAAUGACUGUUCUUCACGGGAAGAAUACUUUCCCGCUCCCUCCCCUUUCCAACUCCCCUUCCCACUGAGUGCCACCUCCAUGGGCAAUAAAGUCCUCUGCAUUCACCACCCUUCAAUUCGUUUGUGCGAUCUGAUUUUUCCCGGAUGCCGAAAAAGAGCUCGGGUGUGACGGGUGCUGAUGCUAAAGGCUGUCAUACUUACCCUCUGCCCUCACUAGCAGAAAGCAAUCACCUCACACAAA